CAUUUACGACCCACUUAUCAACCCACUAAAGCGAACCCAUUUACUCUCCCUCUUCGACGUCUUCGUUUUCUCGCUUUCCCUCAUCCAUCGUACGACGUACUGCAAGUCGCGACUCAGAGGCCGAGAGCUCGCCGGUGAAUUCCUGUCUUUUUCCGAGCACUCCUUCUCCUUCCGCCGUCAGUCGCCGCAGCCACCGCCGUCAUCGCCGUCUUCGCCGUCCGCGGAAAGCGAUUGCGCUUUGAUUGGGCGAAUCUGCGGUCUUUUUUGGAUCUCCGUCGCUCUCGUCCGGCGCAGUUCAGCCGCAAACCUAAGCCGUUUUCGUAACAGCCGGGACGAGGAAGAGGCAGAGGCGGAUACCAAUCCGAGGGCCUAAGGGGACGCCUGGGUGGUCAGAGUUUGGGCAGGGGAAGCAACCUGGAUAAUGGCUCCUACUUCCGUGGUUCGCAAUGAGUUAUUCGUUCGACCUUUUCGAACCGUUAUAGCUGUGGCCAAAGGCUCGUUAGGUUGCUAUGGGUGAUUCCAUGUACGAUGGUUUCCUGAAGUUGUGGUCUGUGCUUCUUGAGAUACUAAGCAGACAGCCGUAUGGACAAAGAAAUUUACAAUCAGCUGGUUCAAGGCUGAAGAAGAAGGGUAUGACGUGAGCAAGUUCCACAAGACUCCCACAUAGCGACAGUCCACCGGAAGAAGAAGGACCCAAGGACACCAAAGGCAUUUGGUGGAUCAAGUCCAUUCUAGGAAGAUAGGGGGAACUCGAUUUCACAGCCAGCUUGAUGAAGAUGAUGCAGCAAAGGCUUCAUGGAGUUCUGAGUACAUAUGAGUUUUCAUAAAUAAUCAGCAUAUGAUGUACCCCUGUUUUAAGUUAGAUUGAAAUCUUUUAGUCUCGAGACUACCAUGCGUUUGUUUUGUUUGAUGUAUAUUUUGCUUCUGCUGUGUGCGGAUAUUGUAUCAAUGAUGAGAGAUUGGCAAUGAAUAGGAGCUGUUCAAUUAUGAGAUCA
Molecule: RNA transcript, 995 nt
Organism: Eucalyptus grandis
Lineage: Eukaryota; Viridiplantae; Streptophyta; Magnoliopsida; Myrtales; Myrtaceae
Exons: 3
Source: RefSeq, a predicted model, not a curated record